RNAcentral lists this ribosomal RNA (465 nucleotides) under Triticum aestivum (bread wheat). Its description in RNAcentral is "partial small subunit ribosomal RNA". Lineage: Eukaryota; Viridiplantae; Streptophyta; Magnoliopsida; Poales; Poaceae. The record is from RNAcentral.
AUGCAAGAAAUAGUUUGCGGCUGCUCGGGCGUACCAACAAGAAGUAACACAAGGUCUUGUCGAUGCAGAUGUCUAGCAAUGAUAAGGUUGCUACGCUCAAAGAACAAUGGAUGGUACAUAAGCGAGCACAUGGAAUUCCACAACCACUCUCUUACAGAUAAGUGUGGCCAGAAAAUAUAUUGGCCCUCGCAUAGACAUAUCGACAUCUAUACACAAGAUGUUAUCAAGCAGCUUCGUGCAAAUAAUAUUAGCAUUGGCAAAGUCUACAACAUAAUUGGCAGUUUCUUUGGCUCCAUGAGCAGUGUUCCUUUCAGCAAGAGAGCUUUGAGGGGCCUUUGUGGACAGAUAAGCCGGGAUCAGGCAGAUGAUGACGUUAGAAAGACAAUGGAAGUUUUUGCUGAAUUGGGAUCCAAAGAUUCUGGGUUGUACUACAGAGUACAACCAGAUACGGACGGUCACAUAUGA